Megalops atlanticus (tarpon) is the source of this 82-nucleotide non-coding RNA. Lineage: Eukaryota; Metazoa; Chordata; Actinopteri; Elopiformes; Megalopidae. The record is from the annotation of a GenBank genome assembly.
GGUAGCGUGGCCGAGUGGUCUAAGGUGCUGGCUGCAGGCUGCAGUCAUUUUGAUGGCAUGGGUUUGAAUCUCACCGCUGCCA